This 497-nucleotide ribosomal RNA is filed under the name uncultured bacterium. RNAcentral's name for it is "partial 16S ribosomal RNA". It matches the Rfam family "Bacterial small subunit ribosomal RNA", at positions 28 to 507 of the family's 1533-position model. The record is from RNAcentral.
GAUGAGCGCUGGCGGCGUGCCUAAUACAUGCAAGUCGAGCGAACGGACGAGAAGCUUGCUUUUCUGAUGUUAGCGGCGGACGGGUGAGUAACACGUGGAUAACCUACCUAUAAGACUGGGAUAACUUCGGGAAACCGGAGCUAAUACCGGAUAAUAUUUUGAACCGCAUGGUUCAAAAGUGAAAGACGGUCUUGCUGUCACUUAUAGAUGGAUCCGCGCUGCAUUGGCUAGUUGGUAAGGUAACGGCUUACCAAGGCAACGAUGCAUAGCCGACCUGAGAGGGUGAUCGGCCACACUGGAACUGAGACACGGUCCAGACUCCUACGGGAGGCAGCAGUAGGGAAUCUUCCGCAAUGGGCGAAAGCCUGACGGAGCAACGCCGCGUGAGUGAUGAAGGUCUUCGGAUCGUAAAACUCUGUUAUUAGGGAAGAACAUAUGUGUAAGUAACUGUGCACAUCUUGACGGUACCUAAUCAGAAAGCCACGGCUAACUACGUG